RNAcentral lists this ribosomal RNA (2899 nucleotides) under Klebsiella pneumoniae. Its description in RNAcentral is "23S ribosomal RNA". It matches the Rfam family "Bacterial large subunit ribosomal RNA". Lineage: Bacteria; Pseudomonadati; Pseudomonadota; Gammaproteobacteria; Enterobacterales; Enterobacteriaceae. The record is from RNAcentral.
GGUUAAGCGACUAAGCGUACACGGUGGAUGCCCGGCAGUCAGAGGCGAUGAAGGACGUGCUAAUCUGCGAAAAGCGUCGGUAAGGUGAUAUGAACCGUUAUAACCGGCGAUGUCCGAAUGGGGAAACCCAGUGUGAUUCGUCACACUAUCGUUAACUGAAUACAUAGGUUAACGAGGCGAACCGGGGGAACUGAAACAUCUAAGUACCCCGAGGAAAAGAAAUCAACCGAGAUUCCCCCAGUAGCGGCGAGCGAACGGGGAGCAGCCCAGAGUCUGAAUCAGCUUGUGUGUUAGUGGAACGGUCUGGAAAGUCCGACGGUACAGGGUGAUAGUCCCGUACACCAAAAUGCACAGGUUGUGAACUCGAAGAGUAGGGCGGGACACGUGGUAUCCUGUCUGAAUAUGGGGGACCAUCCUCCAAGGCUAAAUACUCCUGACUGACCGAUAGUGAACCAGUACCGUGAGGGAAAGGCGAAAAGAACCCCGGCGAGGGGAGUGAAAAAGAACCUGAAACCGUGUACGUACAAGCAGUGGGAGCACCUUCGGGUGUGACUGCGUACCUUUUGUAUAAUGGGUCAGCGACUUAUAUUCUGUAGCAAGGUUAACCGUAUAGGGGAGCCGCAGGGAAACCGAGUCUUAACUGGGCGUUAAGUUGCAGGGUAUAGACCCGAAACCCGGUGAUCUAGCCAUGGGCAGGUUGAAGGUUGGGUAACACUAACUGGAGGACCGAACCGACUAAUGUUGAAAAAUUAGCGGAUGACUUGUGGCUGGGGGUGAAAGGCCAAUCAAACCGGGAGAUAGCUGGUUCUCCCCGAAAGCUAUUUAGGUAGCGCCUCGUGAACUCAUCUUCGGGGGUAGAGCACUGUUUCGGCUAGGGGGUCAUCCCGACUUACCAACCCGAUGCAAACUACGAAUACCGAAGAAUGUUAUCACGGGAGACACACGGCGGGUGCUAACGUCCGUCGUGAAGAGGGAAACAACCCAGACCGCCAGCUAAGGUCCCAAAGUCAUGGUUAAGUGGGAAACGAUGUGGGAAGGCACAGACAGCCAGGAUGUUGGCUUAGAAGCAGCCAUCAUUUAAAGAAAGCGUAAUAGCUCACUGGUCGAGUCGGCCUGCGCGGAAGAUGUAACGGGGCUAAACCAUGCACCGAAGCUGCGGCAGCGACACUAUGUGUUGUUGGGUAGGGGAGCGUUCUGUAAGCCUGCGAAGGUGACCUGUGAGGGUUGCUGGAGGUAUCAGAAGUGCGAAUGCUGACAUAAGUAACGAUAAAGCGGGUGAAAAGCCCGCUCGCCGGAAGACCAAGGGUUCCUGUCCAACGUUAAUCGGGGCAGGGUGAGUCGACCCCUAAGGCGAGGCCGAAAGGCGUAGUCGAUGGGAAACAGGUUAAUAUUCCUGUACUUGGUGUUACUGCGAAGGGGGGACGGAGAAGGCUAUGUUAGCCGGGCGACGGUUGUCCCGGUUUAAGCAUGUAGGCUGAUUGUCCAGGCAAAUCCGGAUAAUCAAGGCUGAGGUGUGAUGACGAGGCACUACGGUGCUGAAGUAACAAAUGCCCUGCUUCCAGGAAAAGCCUCUAAGCAUCAGGUAACAUCAAAUCGUACCCCAAACCGACACAGGUGGUCAGGUAGAGAAUACCAAGGCGCUUGAGAGAACUCGGGUGAAGGAACUAGGCAAAAUGGUGCCGUAACUUCGGGAGAAGGCACGCUGGUGUGUAGGUGAAGUCCCUGCGGAUGGAGCUGAGACCAGUCGAAGAUACCAGCUGGCUGCAACUGUUUAUUAAAAACACAGCACUGUGCAAACACGAAAGUGGACGUAUACGGUGUGACGCCUGCCCGGUGCCGGAAGGUUAAUUGAUGGGGUUAUCCGUAAGGAGAAGCUCUUGAUCGAAGCCCCGGUAAACGGCGGCCGUAACUAUAACGGUCCUAAGGUAGCGAAAUUCCUUGUCGGGUAAGUUCCGACCUGCACGAAUGGCGUAAUGAUGGCCAGGCUGUCUCCACCCGAGACUCAGUGAAAUUGAACUCGCUGUGAAGAUGCAGUGUACCCGCGGCAAGACGGAAAGACCCCGUGAACCUUUACUAUAGCUUGACACUGAACAUUGAGCCUUGAUGUGUAGGAUAGGUGGGAGGCUUUGAAGCGUGGACGCCAGUCUGCGUGGAGCCAACCUUGAAAUACCACCCUUUAAUGUUUGAUGUUCUAACGUUGGCCCCUUACCGGGGUUGCGGACAGUGUCUGGUGGGUAGUUUGACUGGGGCGGUCUCCUCCCAAAGCGUAACGGAGGAGCACGAAGGUUAGCUAAUCCUGGUCGGACAUCAGGAGGUUAGUGCAAUGGCAUAAGCUAGCUUGACUGCGAGCGUGACGGCGCGAGCAGGUGCGAAAGCAGGUCAUAGUGAUCCGGUGGUUCUGAAUGGAAGGGCCAUCGCUCAACGGAUAAAAGGUACUCCGGGGAUAACAGGCUGAUACCGCCCAAGAGUUCAUAUCGACGGCGGUGUUUGGCACCUCGAUGUCGGCUCAUCACAUCCUGGGGCUGAAGUAGGUCCCAAGGGUAUGGCUGUUCGCCAUUUAAAGUGGUACGCGAGCUGGGUUUAGAACGUCGUGAGACAGUUCGGUCCCUAUCUGCCGUGGGCGCUGGAGAAUUGAGGGGGCUGCUCCUAGUACGAGAGGACCGGAGUGGACGCAUCACUGGUGUUCGGGUUGUCAUGCCAAUGGCACUGCCCGGUAGCUAAAUGCGGAAGAGAUAAGUGCUGAAAGCAUCUAAGCACGAAACUUGCCCCGAGAUGAGUUCUCCCUGAGACUUUAAGUCUCCUGAAGGAACGUUGAAGACGACGACGUUGAUAGGCCGGGUGUGUAAGCGCAGCGAUGCGUUGAGCUAACCGGUACUAAUGAACCGUGAGGCUUAACCUU